CGAGGGGGCACUGCCGGUGCCCGGGUUCCCUCUGAAGGAGGGGUUUGGAGCGGGGAGGCAGCGAUUCCCGCGCUGCCCUUGGACUCACCUUGGCUCCCUGGAUGCAAACACUAAUUUCCCUCUGAGCAGCGUCUCUCUCUACUCCUGGUAAAUUCCUCCAGUGCUUUUCCCUGCGUUGCCUCUGCCCGGCUGCGCACCGCGGCUGACAUGGAGCCACGUGCCGGGAGGAAACCCUCCUUCACCGCCUUUAACUCUGUCCCUCCCUCAAAUCCUCAAACACUGCCAGGCUCGGGUUUCCCGGUGGGAAAGGCUUCCCAUCUCCGCCCUGCCGGGGGUCCUGGGACCACCUCCGGCACCUGGGGCUGUGGGAAACCACCCGGCCCUCGCUGAGAUCCUGAUAUUGGGAUCGGGGUGUGGGGAGUGAUUUGGGAUCGUGUGCCCAGGGUGAGUACAGCGCUCAAUCCAUCCGUGCAGGGAGGAUGGGGGGGAAAUUCCCCCCUGUGGCAGCUGCUGGAGGGGAAGGACAGGGAAAACUGGGAUGUGGCGGGUUGUGCACGGGAAAGCUGGUGAGGAACAGGAAUAGCUGAAAGAACUAAAUAUGGAAACUUGGAUAAAACAGCGCUGAAGUAGGGAGAUGGUUUCCUAACAGGGUUCAAAGCGUAUAAACAAACUCAGGGAGGAGAGAGGUUGUCCAGAGGGGCCUUUGUGAGGAAUAGUCAGGAAAACCAGCCGAAAAUCUCUCCAUAGGGGAGCGUGUUCCAUCAAAGCAAACUUCCAGCUUCGUGGAGAAAGUGUCAGCCCUGGGAACAUAUUGUCUGGGGGGAAGAGAUAGUGAAAACACCUGCCCCAGCCAGCGAAAAGAUUCUCCUUUACGUUUUUUUUCUAACUGGCACAUUUCCAUGAUAAAACAGGAAGUUUCAUGGCAACGGUAAAAUAAUAAUGACGAAGUUUUCCGUUCCACUGGAAGUUUUUUGCCCGACCCUGCUUUUCUGCUUCCCUUUGGCAGGUUGCUCCGGGAUCACCAACCUCACACCGGGGGGUUUGUUCCUGCAGAUCUGAGACUGCAGGAUCCUGCGGGAUCCCUUGGGAAGUGCCUCCCUGGAGCAGGGUGGGCAAAACCUCAGGUUUGGCCUCGUGCUGGGAUCCCAUCAGAGCUCUCCCAUCUCUCAUGUCUCUUAAUUCCUUAAGGAGCUCAGCUCUCUGCCCUCUUUGCCGGCUCCUCACCACCUUCUCCUUUACCUUUUGGGUUUGUGCCGGCGAAAAGGGGGUGGUUUAAUGCGAUUAUUCCGGUAAAACCCCCGUAAGAGGAUUCCCAGGGCUUGCCUUCACAGCCCUGCAGGGGUUAUGGGCAGCUUGUGGAUGGGGAUGAGCUGGAUGUGGGAUAGUGGGAAGCCCGAGAGAGGCUUUGUAAGCUGAGCCAAACCGUGGUGUCCCUGCAAGGGUGACCCCGGGAUCUGCAGCCCCUGAAGGUGCCACGUGCUGCCUUUCCCUGGGACAGGAUGGACAUUUCCCAUGGUGUGGAUCCUGCUCACCCUGGACAGAGGUGGAUGGAAUGGGCAGCAGAAACACAGAGAAGAGGGAUGGAGGGCUGGGAGAGCAGGAUUCGUCCGGGAGCUCCCCUCUGGAUGAGAAAAGUAACAUUUCCCCCCCAAGGACGUGAACAACCAGAACUCUGUGGUGCACCAGAUACAUACAAUGACACGAGUUAUUUUCCUUUUGUGUGUAUUUAAACUAUAUAACAGGAUUCACUGAGUCAAUCCAGUUACUACCUAUUUAAUGGCAUUAUUAUUAUUAAUAUAGUAUUCCAAAUUAUUAUAAUAAAAAUACUAUUAUUA
Lepidothrix coronata (blue-crowned manakin) is the source of this 1835-nucleotide long non-coding RNA. RefSeq lists it as uncharacterized. The record is from RefSeq and is a predicted model, not a curated record. The transcript is spliced from 3 exons. NCBI's taxonomy places the organism in Eukaryota, Metazoa, Chordata, Aves, Passeriformes, Pipridae.